GCAUCAGUAGUUAAGUGGUAAAAUACUCUCCUGCCACACGGGCGGCCCGGGUUCGAUUCCCAGCCGAUGCA
This 71-nucleotide transfer RNA is filed under the name Cordylochernes scorpioides. RNAcentral's name for it is "tRNA-Gly". It matches the Rfam family "tRNA". Rfam says of the family: Transfer RNA (tRNA) molecules are approximately 80 nucleotides in length. Their secondary structure includes four short double-helical elements and three loops (D, anti-codon, and T loops). The record is from RNAcentral. Lineage: Eukaryota; Metazoa; Arthropoda; Arachnida; Pseudoscorpiones; Chernetidae.